RNAcentral lists this ribosomal RNA (267 nucleotides) under uncultured bacterium. RNAcentral describes it as "partial 16S ribosomal RNA". It matches the Rfam family "Bacterial small subunit ribosomal RNA", at positions 524 to 789 of the family's 1533-position model. The record is from RNAcentral.
UACGGAGGGAGCUAGCGUUGUUCGGAAUUACUGGCGUAAAGCGCACGUAGGCGGCUUUUUAAGUCAGGGGUGAAAUCCCGGGGCUCAACCCCGGAACUGCCCUUGAAACUGGAAAGCUAGAAUCUUGGAGAGGCGAGUGGAAUUCCGAGUGUAGAGGGUGAAAUUCGUAGAUAUUCGGAAGAACACCAGUGGCGAAGGCGACUCGCUGGACAAGUAUUGACGCUGAGGUGCGAAAGCGUGGGGAGCAAACAGGAUUAAGAAACCCUG